This is a long non-coding RNA of Marmota flaviventris (yellow-bellied marmot), 833 nucleotides long. RefSeq lists it as uncharacterized. Lineage: Eukaryota; Metazoa; Chordata; Mammalia; Rodentia; Sciuridae. The record is from RefSeq and is a predicted model, not a curated record.
GGGUCAAGUCGCUCUUGCUACGCAUCCUCAGACGAGCUUUCCUCUCGUUAUGAAUUAUGGGAGUUGUGGAUAAUGCUCCAUUGAGAGACUGUCUUUGGUGGCUUAAACUCGGGAACCGGAAUUUAGAAUGCCCAGACACAACCAAUCCCAGCCUUUGGUGCGGUGACGUCUCUGGUAGCUAGGUGGAUUCGCUCAGAGCCAGCCCCGCCCGGCAGGUGGACCGCGCGCCCCCUAGAGCCUGGAGCGUCCCUCUCCCGGGCGGUCGGGCUGCGGACCAAGCUCAGGCCAACUGAACUCUGUUCUGUUCAGCCCACUGUCUGUGCUCCCUGGAAAGGAGAAUCUUGAAGCAGAACCCAUUCUCAAUCAAUACCAAGGAUGGGAUGCAGAGGACAGAGGGCUGAUGGGGAGUUGGACAAAGAGUGGCAGAGGAAAGCAGCGAGCCACCAAGUGGGGAGCAAGAAGAACUGCAAAAUUUCAUGGUCUUGCUAAUGAGGACUCCUACAGUUUGCAAGCUGCCUAUCUAUACUGUGUAUGGUACUGGGGAUUGGACUGGGGGAGCAGGGAGAGGCUUUACUGCUGAGCUACAUCCUAAGCCCUUUUUGAGACAGGGUAUCACUAAAUUGCCCAGGCUGUCCUUAAACGUACAAUCCCCUGCCUCAGCAGCUAAAGUAGCUGGGAUCACAGGUGUACCCUGGCUUGUUACACUUGUAGUUAAUGCACUUCCAUGCCAAUCUUAAGAACUGAUAGCUCACUCUGGGGCUCCAGUGGAAAGAGAACAGCUCAGGAAAUAAAAAUGUCUGCUGCUGCCCAGGCCUUGGUGCUGCAGAAAGAAA